This is a long non-coding RNA of Protopterus annectens (West African lungfish), 537 nucleotides long. RefSeq lists it as uncharacterized. The record is from RefSeq and is a predicted model, not a curated record. Lineage: Eukaryota; Metazoa; Chordata; Ceratodontiformes; Protopteridae. The transcript is spliced from 3 exons.
GUAGGACAAAGUUAAAAGAGCCUUGUCAUCCAUCAGAUCCAAAGUUGGUGCUUUAAAAAAUAUACGAAACAAGAGUGAGAAGGAACUAAAAGACGUGCAUGAAGAUGCUUAUAGUUUGCAACAAUACAUUAAUCAAGAAUUUGCAAAACUGCAUCAGUUUCUCCAUGAAAAGGAGCAGAAACUCAUUCACCAACUUAAGACGGAAGAAGAAAAAACUCUGAAUGAAAUAGAAAAAAACCUUGACUGCAUCAAAAGUGAUGUUAUAUCCACCAACAUUACAGUGGUUGAUGCCAACUUGGAGCUCAAAAAGCUAGUCAUAGAGACUCAAGAUGAAAAGGAAGAAAACAAUUUAUGCAUUAAAAAUGAUGUCAUGGCCUUUCAGGAAUCAGUACCUCAUAACUCAGAAGUUGAAAAAGUACCAGUAUUGUUUGAGGAUGUAGCUAUUUCUUUCUCAGAAGAGGAGUGGAAGAUGUUAAGAAAACAAGACAAGGAGCUUCACAGGGAAGUGAUGGCACAGAACUAUGAAACCUUAAUUUC